UACGGAGGAUGCAAGCGUUAUCCGGAUUUAUUGGGUUUAAAGGGUACGUAGGCGGAAAAUUAAGUCAGUAGUGAAAUCCUGCAGCUUAACUGUAGAACUGUUAUUGAUACUGGUUUUCUUGAAUGUAGUUGAGGUAGGCGGAAUGUGUAAUGUAGCGGUGAAAUGCUUAGAUAUUACACAGAACACCGAUUGCGAAGGCAGCUUACUAAGCUACGAUUGACGCUGAGGUACGAAAGCGUGGGGAGCGAACAGG
Molecule: unclassified non-coding RNA, 253 nt
Filed under: uncultured Bacteroidota bacterium
Lineage: Bacteria; Pseudomonadati; Bacteroidota
Description: uncultured Bacteroidetes bacterium contains 16S-23S intergenic spacer region
Rfam family: Bacterial small subunit ribosomal RNA
Source: RNAcentral